RNA transcript from Talpa occidentalis (Iberian mole), 3681 nucleotides. It is a transcript of the gene named proline rich 16, with no coding region annotated. The record is from RefSeq and is a predicted model, not a curated record. NCBI's taxonomy places the organism in Eukaryota, Metazoa, Chordata, Mammalia, Eulipotyphla, Talpidae. The transcript has 3 exons.
GACGGGGGCGCGCAGCAGCCUCCGCUCGCCCGCCUGUGCUGACCUGCCUCACUUGCCCCCGAAGAAUGUCAGCCAAGUCCAAGGGGACCCCCUCCUCGUCCUCUCCAGCCGAGGGACCGCCCGCAGCCUCCAAGACCAAGGUGAAGGAGCAGAUCAAGAUCAUCGUGGAGGAUCUGGAGUUAGUCCUGGGCGACCUGAAGGACGUGGCCAAGGAACUUAAGGAGGUGGUUGACCAGAUCGACACCCUGACCUCUGACCUACAGCUGGAGGAUGAGAUGACUGACAGCUCCAAAACCGACACCCUGAACAGCAGCUCCAGCGGCACCACAGCCUCCAGCAUAGAGAAGAUCAAAGUGCAGGCCAACGCCCCUCUCAUUAAACCCCCUGCCCACCCUUCCGCCAUCCUCACCGUCCUGAGAAAGCCAAAUCCUCCACCACCGCCUCCACGGUUAACACCUGUGAAGUGUGAAGACCCCCAAAGGGUGGUGCCCACGGUCCAUCCCGUGAAGACCAACGGCACCCUUCUGCGAAACGGAGGCUUACCCGGAGCACCAAGCAAAGUUCCCAAUGGAGACCUCUGCUGCGUACCCAGCAGUACCUUGGACAAGGCUCCCGUGCAGCCUCUGAUGCACAGACCUGAGAAAGACAGGUGUCCCCAGGUGGGGCCCCGGGAACGCGUCCGGUUCAAUGAAAAGGUGCAGUACCAUGGCUACUGUCCCGACUGUGACACCCGGUAUCACGUGAAAGGCAGGGAGGGGCACCUGCACAGCGAGCCUGGCUUCCCGCCCGGAAAGCUCCCUCACCAAGGCCCGCCCCUCCCGCCACCCCCCCAUCUCCCACCUUUUCCACUAGAAAAUGGGGGACUGGGAAUAAGCCACAGUAACAGCUUCCCUCCUCUCAGACCUGCAACUGUGCCUCCGCCUACUGCACCCAAACCACAGAAGACGAUCUUGAGGAAAUCAACCACCACAACAGUGUGAUGUAUGCCAUUUUUAAAAACUUUUUGUUUUUUUUUUUAAUUUCUAUAUUAUAAACAUAAAAUGAUAAGUAAUGAGCACUUUCUACUCAAGCAAUAAAAAGCCCAAAUAUAUUAAUCCUGCAUUCAGCAAAGUGGCAUAAAAAUCGCCUGCUCCUUCAGGUUGGAAGGAGUAUCCUUAUUUGGAGGCAUGUCAGCUCGAUUUUUCACACUUCAGAUUCUUCAUUAUGACUUCUUGAGGCCAAACCUAAUUUUGAAGUAACCAGGAAGUAAUUUUGAAGGAACUGGUCAUGUCAGCAGCAAAUCCCUCAAUUUUGGAGCACAAGUGAUCACUGGUAGGAUCUGCAUACCAUCAUCUUCCUCUUGUCUGACAGCCAUGAGCAGAGCCCUGGGGGCGAAAGAAGCCACAGCCUUAAAUAUUUUCACUCAGAAUUACCAAGAAGAUAAAAAUAAAUAAAUUGAUACGCAAAAAGGACUAAAGAUGCAAACCAACAAAGAAAUCAGACUAAACCAAACCCAUUGUAUUUCACCCUGGAAAUAAAUAUCCUCAGAUGUGAACCCAAGAAGAUUUCUAUUCAAGCAAGUAAAUUAUAAAUUGAUUUAUUAUUUGGAAAGGUGAAAGUUGAGAGGUAGGAAGUAUCUCUAGCCAGAAUUACUCACAUUUCAAAAUCUAUAUGUAGACAACAAAGAAAACUGAAGAAGCAGAGGAGCAUUGCAGCAGCAAAUAGCAUUUGGAGAGAAGAGAGGGUGUUUGGCACCUCGUGUCCACCCUCAUAGCCAUAGUGGAUUUACAGCAUUUGUCAUCAAUUGCUUGGAAUGUUCUACAUUCAACCCUUCACCCCAUAGUGGUUGAGAGAGGGAGGAGGUCGGUUCUUACUGAUUACUUCUCAAUGCACUUCUAAUAUUUGCACUGUCACUUCCAUUCAGGGUAAUGAUAUGUGCUGUUAUUUGCACAGAUGGUCCCAUGAGUUUUGAGACCACAAGGGUUUUCUUGCAGGAAUCCAAAAAGGAAACAUUGAAUUCUCCAGACAUUGAUUCUUUUUCUUCUGUAACAUCAGUUAUCUAAUAAAAAAAAAAUGGAUUUGUCUGAUUAAAAAAAAAGCUACAAAAUAAUGAUGAAAAAACAUCAGUGUGGUCAAAUGAAUGAAAAAGGGAUCAAGAGUUUUUUAAUGAAGAUCAUUUUAUAUCAUUAAACAGCCAAGAAGUCAAAUACAGCAAACUGUACACUAAACAUUUGUGUUGAACAUCUAUUUGUUCCCUUAAUUAAGAAAAAUCAUUUGUAAUUUGUAUUUGACAUAUAACAGUUUUUUAUAGCCAUUUAUCUAUGCUUCAUGGGAAAUGUACCAGGCAAACAAACAGCAUUUUCAGUUUAUUUUUCUAAAUAAAUGUGUUGUUUGUAUUAUUUGUAGUGGCUUAUUGGAUUUGAUUUUCAUUACUUGGAAGAUAAAUUUCCUAUGGUUCAUUGACAAGCUUUUGUCAUUAAUUCAGAUAUAAUGGACGAUUGAAAUUUAGUAUAUUUUUGUGAUAUAUGAUGGCGAUUUCUAUUUCCUAAACUCUGAAAAAAUGAUAUAUUUUUCACCAUGAUUUUCUUUGAAGAGUAAUUUUAAUAUUAUAGUUAUACUAACUAUAAGAGUUAGUUUUAAUGUAUAGGGGACAUUGCUCAAAUUAUAACUUGGGUACUGUAUCAGCACAGAUUUUCCUAAGCUAUCUUCCUGGAAAAUCUGCUCCAGAAGAAAAUGAAAAUAAGAUUUAAAAAAAAAUUAAGCCACUGAUCAUAACCUAGUCUUCUAAGAGCUUCCAUGAGUGCAUAUAAAAAUAACCAAUCAGACUGAGGCAAAAAUGAAACUCUCAAUCUACAAGGGCUUAUUGAGAACCUGCAAAUUGUUCAUCCUUACUUGAGACUCAACAGCCGAGAGUCGGUGUUUAUGGUUGUUGCUACCACCUGUAAGUAGUGUGCAACUCAAAUGAGUUAAUUUUAACAAGAGAAUAGGUCAUUAAGUUUAUUCCCAAACUAUCUCUUGAAACCAAAUUCUCAUUAUAUCAUUCUGCACACUUAAGUUCAUUUACUAAGUGCAAACUCUCUUGGUAGAAUUUAGUGUAUCCUGUAACAUAAUGAAGAAAAUUAGUUUGCCACGCAUGAUUUGAACCCCCAAAAUUAAGAUGUCAUACAUGAAAAUAAAUCCAGCUAGGAAUCAAAUUGCCAUUUCCUCUGGGAUGUUAGGCAACAAAGUAUGGAUGACUGGACUCUAAAACAUUUUUUUUUUUUUUAAAGUCAUGCUGAUUGCUUCAAGUUGUGAAUUAUUUGAAAUAUAGAAAACUCAACUUUAUCUCAAACAUCUGACAAUAAAAUCCAUCUAGACUAAAUACAAAAAAAUACAGAUUUUCAUUUGGUGAAUAUACUCAUCAGUGAACAGUGCUGCAUUUACUGUGUUCUAUGUAGAGCCCCUAAGAAAUUCUUACAAAAUCAUGAGGCAGGGGAUAGGGACAGCAGACCAUGAGAACAUGUCUGAAAUUUUCCUUGAAUUUAUGUAUUUUCUUCAAUUUUAAUUCUCUUUACUUUCUAAGUUAUUUCACUUACAAUCACUUUAUUUUCUUUCAGCCUCUUCAAAUUUUAAAUUUACCCUUUGCUAUUGUCACAAUUCAAUGCACCUUUUACAAAAUCCAAAAAAAUUUUUGUUCCCAUUGAUAAAUAUGAAUUAAAAGUG